This 639-nucleotide ribosomal RNA is filed under the name Escherichia coli. RNAcentral's name for it is "partial 23S ribosomal RNA". It matches the Rfam family "Bacterial large subunit ribosomal RNA", at positions 614 to 1253 of the family's 2925-position model. Lineage: Bacteria; Pseudomonadati; Pseudomonadota; Gammaproteobacteria; Enterobacterales; Enterobacteriaceae. The record is from RNAcentral.
AAUGGGUCAGCGACUUAUAUUCUGUAGCAAGGUUAACCGAAUAGGGGAGCCGAAGGGAAACCGAGUCUUAACUGGGCGUUAAGUUGCAGGGUAUAGACCCGAAACCCGGUGAUCUAGCCAUGGGCAGGUUGAAGGUUGGGUAACACUAACUGGAGGACCGAACCGACUAAUGUUGAAAAAUUAGCGGAUGACUUGUGGCUGGGGGUGAAAGGCCAAUCAAACCGGGAGAUAGCUGGUUCUCCCCGAAAGCUAUUUAGGUAGCGCCUCGUGAAUUCAUCUCCGGGGGUAGAGCACUGUUUCGGCAAGGGGGUCAUCCCGACUUACCAACCCGAUGCAAACUGCGAAUACCGGAGAAUGUUAUCACGGGAGACACACGGCGGGUGCUAACGUCCGUCGUGAAGAGGGAAACAACCCAGACCGCCAGCUAAGGUCCCAAAGUCAUGGUUAAGUGGGAAACGAUGUGGGAAGGCCCAGACAGCCAGGAUGUUGGCUUAGAAGCAGCCAUCAUUUAAAGAAAGCGUAAUAGCUCACUGGUCGAGUCGGCCUGCGCGGAAGAUGUAACGGGGCUAAACCAUGCACCGAAGCUGCGGCAGCGACACUAUGUGUUGUUGGGUAGGGGAGCGUUCUGUAAGCCUGUGA